RNAcentral lists this ribosomal RNA (468 nucleotides) under uncultured bacterium. RNAcentral describes it as "partial 16S ribosomal RNA". It matches the Rfam family "Bacterial small subunit ribosomal RNA", at positions 28 to 507 of the family's 1533-position model. The record is from RNAcentral.
GACGAACGCUGGCGGCGUGCUUAACACAUGCAAGUCGAACGGAAAGGCCCUGCUUUUGUGGGGUGCUCGAGUGGCGAACGGGUGCGUAACACGUGAGUAACCUGCCCUUGACUUUGGGAUAACUUCACGAAACUGGGGCUAAUCCCGGAUAGCAGCUCCUGCUGCAUGGUGGGGGUUGGAAAGUUUCGGCGGUUGGGGAUGGACUCGCGGGUUAUCAGCUUGUUGGUGGGGUAGUGGCUUACCAAGGCUUUGACUGGUAGCCGGCCUGGGAGGGUGACCGGGCACAAUGGGACUGAGAUACGGCGCAGACUGCUACGGGAGGCAGCAGUGGGGAAUAUUGCACAAUGGGAGGAAGCCUGAGGCAGCGACGCCGCGUGCGGGAUGACGGCCUUCGGGUUGUAAACCGCUGUCGCCUGUGACGAAGCGUGAGUGACGGUAAUGGGUAAAGAAGCACCGGCUAACUACGUG